CAUGGGCUAGGCAUAAAUAUUCCAACAUCCUCUUCCUCCCACCGCAACCAAUUUGUCCAUCCUAGCCCCAUCGUCCUCGUGCUCCACGCCACGGCUCUGGAAAUCCAGCCGGGCUUAGAUUGCUAUCUUCGUUUCUUGAUGAGGCUCAAAGGAAGGAAUGGGGAGUCUGCGUCAAAUUUUCGUUGAGAAUUUCAGAAGCCAACGUACCAGGAGUGCAAUGCUAGAUUGUUCAUAUAUUAAACUUCUGAAUUUGCUAAGCAUUUGUAGCUCUAAGACAAUGUUACGGUGUUAUCUUUCUGAAUUUGUUAUCAUUUUGAAGCUCAAGACAUAUUCAGUACUAAACUUGCCACAACUUUUGCACUUUAUUUCAUUUUUCA
Molecule: long non-coding RNA, 377 nt
Organism: Panicum hallii
Lineage: Eukaryota; Viridiplantae; Streptophyta; Magnoliopsida; Poales; Poaceae
Exons: 2
Source: RefSeq, a predicted model, not a curated record